This is a non-coding RNA of Peromyscus maniculatus bairdii (prairie deer mouse), 2483 nucleotides long. The record is from RefSeq and is a predicted model, not a curated record. NCBI's taxonomy places the organism in Eukaryota, Metazoa, Chordata, Mammalia, Rodentia, Cricetidae.
AAAUGAUUUUGGGGAUAUGAAUUUGUUCAGCUAUUUCUAAGCAUUACAUAUGCCUGUAAUUAUCUACUGGUUUGAAGGCAGAGAGGAGGAAGAAAGUGGGUCAAAGCUCAGAUGGUUGUGUUUAGAAGAUACCUCAGAUAAUAACCACUGCUUUGCAAACAGUUGUUUGCCAGUGCAGUGUGAAUAGCAGACAUUAUUAUUAUUAUUAUUGAAAUCCCUAGUCUUUCUACAUAUUUAAAAGUACUUGACACAUUUAAAAGUAGAAGUAGUAGAAUAAUGGUUUGUGUAAAUGGUUUUGAAAAACUGGAGACACUAUAUUUAGAACAGUUAACCCACCUCUGAGAAUAGUGCACCAGCUGUACUUGUUCAGUGGAUUGAGGAGGUGGGAGGGAAGAAACUGCAAAAAGAUACCCUUAGUGUGCUAGAUAGACACCUUUAGCUUACCCGUCACCCCGUGUGGUAGAUUCACUUCAUUUAAUGUUGCUGUUCUGUAUAUAGCAUACAUACUGGACAAAGGAGUUCUUAUUUUAUGAUCUCUAGUUUCUAGGUGUUGAAGAGGUUGCCAACGUAUGACAAAUGUAGAGUUAGUGAACUAACACAUCCUGUAUACUCUGUUAAAGUUCACAGCAAGGUUGUCUUCUGAAGAGAGUUGUGAAAGUAUCCAAGUGACGGGUGCCCGUGUCAUGUGAUACUGGAGAAAAAGAAGGUCAGAGACCAGAAUACUCUCAGCAGAAGACACUUUGAGAUCUAACCAAUGUUACGUGUGUGUGGUUUCAACACCACUGUGUAUAUAGGGGACAAAUUUAUGUCCUCAUCUGAAACAUCUAGUCCUUCUCGGUGUUUAGAAGUACAUAAAGUAUGUUAAAGGUAGAUGUAGUAAAUAAUACAUGUUGUAAAUUCUUGUUUAAACUCAUGGUGAAAUGCUGUCUUUUGGAAAUGGAAUGAUAAAACCAAUUCUGAGCAAUACAGACUUGUGCUGGUUUGGGAGGAAGGAAGAAAGAAAGCAUAUGUAGGGCCUAAUACUAAUGAAAGUUUUGGUAAUGCAAGAUUAACCAUUGUCCCUUUUUCCUGUGCAUCUUAUUUUGUGAUAUCUCGUGUAUAGAGAAGAUAGACAAGUCCAAAUAUGUAGUGCCUAAUCUUCCUAUGUGGUAAACAGGCUGCCAGUGUGUAACAAAGUAUAGUUAGUAAAAAGACAUGCUUUAAAGUUGUGUUAAAAUUCAGAGGAAAAAAACUUAAAACUACUUAGGACGUUGUUAAUAUCCCCACAAAAACAUGACAGUUAUAUAAACCUGACCCCUGGGUUAAGAGAGAUGGGAGAGGUUCUAGACCAGAACAUUGCUAUUUAUAAGUAUGUUAGGUUUGUGCAGUUUCUUUACUGCACUGCACUGUGCAUAUGCUGGGGAAACUGAAUGUUACUGAAAACAUCUAGUCUGUAGACUUUUAAGUGCAUAAUAGACUUGCUGUGGUAAUGCACGACUUUAAUCCUAGGGUGAGGCAGGUGGACCUUGUGAGUUCCAGGCCAGCCAAGGCUACACAGACUUUGUCUCAAAAUAGUAAGAAAAUGUGCAUAAUGGACUGGUAGGGUGUCUCAGCAGGUAAAGGCGCUUGCCAUCUAGAUGGUGGACCUGAGUUUGAUCUCCAGGAUCCACAUGAUAAAAGGAGAAAACUGAUUUACAGAUUGUCUUUUAGCCUCCAUACAAGCACAGUGGUAUGCAUGUGCCCACAUGAAUAUGCUAAUUCAUAAAUGUAAAAAAUGCACAACAUGGUAAAAAUAGAGGGUUACCAACACCUUUUAAGGGUUGUUGUUUCAUAGGAAUGGUUACAGUGGAGGAAUGGAAUUAUUAAACUUGGUCUUUGAGCAGAUACUGUUACCAGGUGGUGGAGGUAUGGAUAGGGGAAACAAUAGUGAAGUGUAAGGUACUGUGCCUGUUGGUUGGUUCCCGGUUGUCUAGUCAUUGUUCUGGUGUGCAUUUCAGUUAAUGUUGCCAAGUAUUAGAGGAUAAGUCCCAGUGCCCAAAGGAUGUUAGAAGUAGCAAGAUAGUCACUAUAAAUGUCCUGCUAGUCUUUUGGAAGGGCUGUCUUCUGGGGUGACCUUUGUAAUACCCUCACUAGAAUCAUCCCGAACUGGAGUUGUGCAGAGAAGAGGACAGAUGAGCAAGAGCUCUUUGCUAGGACAUAUAGAAAACUGUUAAAGCUGUACCCAGGGAUCCAUAUGUGCAUUUCUGGGAUGACACUUGUGUUUCUUGUGCACAAAGUUCAUUCCACAACAUCUGAAAUUCAUAAAUGUCCUAAAGGAGAGCAUAUGGUUAAAGGGAUAGCUCGACAGAUUUGACAAAAAAGGUUCCUCUUGAGCAUAGAAUUGUUAAACCAUGUCUGGACAGUGUGAGUUAAUUCAUGUUGCUAGGCUGACUGUGGAGGGGCAGAGGGAGGCUCAUAGAGUGAGAUCUGCAGCGCUCGUGUAGGAGAAAAGUGUAGAUCUCAGU